CCUACGGGUGGCAGCAGUGAGGAAUAUUGGUCAAUGGGCGGAAGCCUGAACCAGCCAAGUAGCGUGCAGGAUGACGGCCCUACGGGUUGUAAACUGCUUUUAUACGGGAAUAACGCGCCUUACGUGUAGGGCUUUGCAUGUACCGUAUGAAUAAGGACCGGCUAAUUCCGUGCCAGAAGCCGCGGUAAUACGGAAGGUCCGGGCGUUCUCCGGUUUUAGUGGGUUUAACGGGAGCGUAGGCCGCAUGGCAAGCGUUCUGUGAAAUGUCCGCCCAAACCGGGCCUUGCAGCGCGAACUGGCGUGCUUGAGUCCGCGGAAAGCAGGCGGAAUUCGUCGUGUAGCGGUGAAAUGCUUAGAUAUGACGAAGAACCCCGAUUGCGAAGGCAGCUUGCUGCAGCGGAACUGACGCUGAUGCUCGAAAGCGCGGGUAUCGAACAGGAUUAGAUACCCUGGUAGUC
This 458-nucleotide ribosomal RNA is filed under the name uncultured bacterium. RNAcentral describes it as "partial 16S ribosomal RNA". It matches the Rfam family "Bacterial small subunit ribosomal RNA", at positions 338 to 795 of the family's 1533-position model. The record is from RNAcentral.